UAGGGAAUCUUCCGCAAUGGACGCAAGUCUGACGGAGCAACGCCGCGUGAGUGAAGAAGGAUUUCGGUUCGUAAAACUCUGUUGUUAGAGAAGAACAGCGCAUAGAGUAACUGUUAUGCGUGUGACGGUAUCUAACCAGAAAGCCACGGCUAACUACGUGCCAGCAGCCGCGGUAAUACGUAGGUCCCGAGCGUUGUCCGGAUUUAUUGGGCGUAAAGCGAGCGCAGGCGGUUAGAAAAGUCUGAAGUGAAAGGCAGUGGCUCAACCAUUGUAGGCUUUGGAAACUGUUUAACUUGAGUGCAGAAGGGGAGAGUGGAAUUCCAUGUGUAGCGGUGAAAUGCGUAGAUAUAUGGAGGAACACCGGUGGCGAAAGCAGCUCUCUGGUCUGUAACUGACGCUGAGGCUCGAAAGCGUGGGGAGCGAACAGG
This 428-nucleotide ribosomal RNA is filed under the name Bacteroidota bacterium. RNAcentral describes it as "Bacteroidetes bacterium partial 16S ribosomal RNA". It matches the Rfam family "Bacterial small subunit ribosomal RNA", at positions 355 to 776 of the family's 1533-position model. The record is from RNAcentral. Lineage: Bacteria; Pseudomonadati; Bacteroidota.